GUAGGUGAACCUGCGGAAGGAUCAUUACAGAAUAAACAACUAGGCUGUUGCUGGCUCCUCGGGGCACCGUGCACGCUUGGUAAAUGUUUUUCUUGACCACCUGUGCACCUUUUGUAGACUCUGAAAACGAAUUGUUAUCGAGGCAACUCGGUGUUUGAGGACUGCGAUGCGAGAGCUUGCUUUCCUUUAGAUGUUUUCUGGUCUAUGUAUUCUUUAUUAUACACCUUAACAGUAACAGAAUAUAUAUAUUGGCCUUUGUGCCUCUAAUUAAAAUACAACUUUCAACAACGGAUCUCUUGGCUCUC
Molecule: unclassified non-coding RNA, 305 nt
Filed under: rhizosphere metagenome
Description: partial ribosomal RNA internal transcribed spacer region
Source: RNAcentral